This 253-nucleotide ribosomal RNA is filed under the name uncultured bacterium. RNAcentral describes it as "partial 16S ribosomal RNA". It matches the Rfam family "Bacterial small subunit ribosomal RNA", at positions 524 to 776 of the family's 1533-position model. The record is from RNAcentral.
UACGUAGGCAGCGAGCGUUGUUCGGAGUUACUGGGCGUAAAGGGUGUGUAGGCGGUUCUUUAAGUUUGGUGUGAAAUCUCCCGGCUCAACCGGGAGGGUGCGCCGAAAACUGAAGGGCUAGAGUGCGGGAGAGGAGAGUGGAAUUCCUGGUGUAGCGGUGAAAUGCGUAGAUAUCAGGAGGAACACCGGUGGUGUAAACGGCUCUCUGGACCGUAACUGACGCUGAGACACGAAAGCGUGGGUAGCAAACAGG